This 311-nucleotide long non-coding RNA is filed under the name Arachis ipaensis. Its description in RNAcentral is "long non-coding RNA (AIPA_LNC001027)". Lineage: Eukaryota; Viridiplantae; Streptophyta; Magnoliopsida; Fabales; Fabaceae. The record is from RNAcentral.
AGGACGAGCAACGAAGCAAGUGACGACCCUACGACGGUCCAUGAUCCACGGCGACUCGCGACGGCGAAUACUUGAAACCAGAAGACGACGGGCGACGACGAUCCGACGAGUGCUUCUGUCGCCGGAGAGGAGGAGCCCAGGGAAGGCCGUGAGACGUUGAAACACCGGCGAUGAGCUCGAUUGCGAGACAAGAGAGGAGAGAGGGAGAGAUCUUGCGUCCGACGCGCAGUGAGAAAGAUUGAUAGAGAUCGAGCAGAGAGAGACAGAGAGAGAGGAUAGCAAGAGCAGAGAAGAAGAUUUCAGAAAUCUUC